RNAcentral lists this ribosomal RNA (497 nucleotides) under uncultured bacterium. RNAcentral describes it as "partial 16S ribosomal RNA". It matches the Rfam family "Bacterial small subunit ribosomal RNA", at positions 28 to 507 of the family's 1533-position model. The record is from RNAcentral.
GAUGAACGCUGGCGGCGUGCCUAAUACAUGCAAGUCGAGCGAACGGACGAGAAGCUUGCUUCUCUGAUGUUAGCGGCGGACGGGUGAGUAACACGUGGAUAACCUACCUAUAAGACUGGGAUAACUUCGGGAAACCGUAGCUAAUACCGGAUAAUAUUUUGAACCGCAUGGUUCAAAAGUGAAAGACGGUCUUGCUGUCACUUAUAGAUGGAUCCGCGCUGCAUUAGCUAGUUGGUAAGGUAACGGCCUACCAAGGCAACGAUGCAUAGCCGACCUGAGAGGGUGAUCGGCCACACUGGAACUGAGCCACGGUCCAGACUCCUACGGGAGGCAGCAGUAGGGAAUCUUCCGCAAUGGGCGAAAGCCUGACGGAGCAACGCCGCGUGAGUGAUGAAGGUCUUCGGAUCGUAAAACUCUGUUAUUAGGGAAGAACAUAUGUGUAAGUAACUGUGCACAUCUUGACGGUACCUAAUCAGAAAGCCACGGCUAACUACGUG